This 270-nucleotide long non-coding RNA is filed under the name Pan troglodytes (chimpanzee). Its description in RNAcentral is "long non-coding RNA NONPTRT008180". Lineage: Eukaryota; Metazoa; Chordata; Mammalia; Primates; Hominidae. The record is from RNAcentral.
CAGAGCUGGAUCCCCAAGAUCUUCAAGAAGAAGACCUGCACGACGUUCAUAGUUGACUCCACAGAUCCGGGAGGGACCUUGUGCCAGUGUGGGCGCCCCCGGACCGCCCACCCCGCAGUGGCCAUGGAGGAUGCCUUCGGGGCAGCCGUGGUGACCGUGUGGGACAGCGAUGCACACACCACGGAGAAGCCCACCGAUGCCUACGGAGAGCUGGACUUCACGGGGGCCGGCCGCAAGCACAGCAAUGUGAGGCGGGCCUGUGUGGGCGGG